UACAGAGGGGGCAAGCGUUGUUCGGAAUUACUGGGCGUAAAGGGCGCGUAGGCGGCCUUCUAAGUCGAACGUGAAAUCCCCGGACUCAACCCGGGAACUGCGUCCGAUACUGGUUGGCUUGAAUCCGGGAGAGGGGAUGUGGAAUUCCAGGUGUAGCGGUGAAAUGCGCAGAUAUCAGGAGGAACACCGGUGGCGAAGGCGGAUCUCUGGGCCAUUACUGACGCUGAGGAGCGAAAGCGUGGGGGAGCGAACAGG
This 255-nucleotide ribosomal RNA is filed under the name uncultured bacterium. RNAcentral describes it as "partial 16S ribosomal RNA". It matches the Rfam family "Bacterial small subunit ribosomal RNA", at positions 524 to 776 of the family's 1533-position model. The record is from RNAcentral.